UAUUUUGGUGUUUGGUUUUUAAUUAGUGUUGCAUACUAGUAUAGUAGAAUUUUAUGGCUAUAUAUUAUAGAAGUAGAAAGUCAAAAGAGACUAAUUUUUUUCGUUGCGUGAUGAUUAUUAGUUUUUUUUGUUUUGAUAUGUCGAUUUCUAUUAUAUCUGUGUUAUUAUUUUUUAUUAGAAAUUUGUUUGGUUGUGUUGUUUAUUUGAGGUUUUAUGAUUUAGAGUUUUAUUUUUAAAAGUGUUAUGACUUGCCUUUUUUUGUGUUUUAUUAAUUUUAUUGUUGUUAAUUUAUUAACAAUCUUUUGGUCUUUUCUUUAGUAGAUGUUGGUUUAUUUUUUGUUUUUGUUGAAUUUAAUUUUGAGAACUCAGAGUAUGAUCAAAUGUUUUUUAAAGACUGAUGUUUUUAUGUAAAACUGUCUUCUGCUCUAUGAAAUUUUUAAAUGGCCGCCUUAGCGUGAGGGCAUGAAAGUAGCAAAAUGAUUUGUGUUUUUAUUGGAUUCGAGUAUGAAAGGAGGUUUUGGUUGUUUUUAUUCUUUUUUUGUUUUGAACUAUUUUUGUAUUUAAAAAUUAAUAUAAAUAAUUGUACAAAGAUAAGUCUUCGGAAAUUCUGUUGAUUUGCUGUCAUAGUGUUUGGAUAGUAAUUCGGGUUGUUUAGGGCAAAAGUGUAUGUAGUUUGUUUUUACUAGUUUUAAUGUAGAGAGUUACUCCGGAGUUAACAGAAAUUUACGUUUUUUCUAGAUGUUAUGGAAAAAAGGAUUUUACAUCGAUGUUGUAUUUUAGUUGGGUAAAGGAGUAGUAAUUUUGUUUUUUGAGACUGUUCUUCUUUUAGGAAACUAAACGUGAUAUUAGUUUAAUUCAUUGUGAGAUAGAAUUGAUUAUCUUGUUGAUUAUUAGAAUUUGGAGUGGUUAGUACGAAAGGAAAAUUAUUGAAGUUUUAAAUUUAUUUUUUCG
Molecule: ribosomal RNA, 951 nt
Filed under: Heterakis dispar
Lineage: Eukaryota; Metazoa; Nematoda; Chromadorea; Rhabditida; Heterakidae
Description: 16S ribosomal RNA
Source: RNAcentral